Molecule: unclassified non-coding RNA, 378 nt
Filed under: plant metagenome
Description: partial contains 5.8S ribosomal RNA, internal transcribed spacer 2, and large subunit ribosomal RNA
Rfam family: 5.8S ribosomal RNA (bases 1-105)
Source: RNAcentral
GAAAUGCGAUAAGUAAUGUGAAUUGCAGAAUUCAGUGAAUCAUCGAAUCUUUGAACGCACCUUGCGCUCCUUGGUAUUCCUUGGAGCAUGCCUGUUUGAGUAUCAUGAAAUCUUCAAAGUAAAUCUUUUGUUAACUCAAUUGGUUUCUACUUUGGUAUUGGAGGUCUUUGCAGCUUCACACCUGCUCCUCUUUGUUCAUUAGCUGGAUCUCAGUGUUAUGCUUGUUUCCACUCGGCGUGAUAAGUUAUCUAUCGCUGAGGACACUGUAAAAGGUGGCCAAGGUAAAUGCAGAUGAACCGCUUCUAAUAGUCCAUUGACUUGGAAAAUACUUUUAUGAUCUGAUCUCAAAUCAGGUAGGACUACCCGCUGAACUUAAGC